This 468-nucleotide ribosomal RNA is filed under the name uncultured bacterium. Its description in RNAcentral is "partial 16S ribosomal RNA". It matches the Rfam family "Bacterial small subunit ribosomal RNA", at positions 28 to 507 of the family's 1533-position model. The record is from RNAcentral.
GACGAACGCUGGCGGCGUGCUUAACACAUGCAAGUCGAACGGAAAGGCCCUGCUUUUGUGGGUUGCUCGUGUGGCGAACGGGUGAGUAACACUUGUGUAUCCUGCCCUUGUCUUUGUUAUAACUUCUGGUAACUUGGUCUAAUACCCUAUAUGAUCUCCUGCUGCAUUGUUUGUUUUGGUAAUUUUCGGCGGUUGGGGAUGGACUCGCUGCUUAUCAGCUUGUUUGUGGGGUAGUUGCUUACCAAGGCUUUGACGGGUAGCAGGCCUGAGAGGGUUACCGGCGACAUUGGGACUGAGAUACGGCCCAGAAUCCUACGGGAGGCAGCAGUGGGGAAUAUUGCACAAUGGGAGGAAGCCUGAUGCAGAAACGCAGGGUGCGGGAUGAAGGCAUUCGGGUUGUAAACCGAUUUCGCCUGUGACGAAGCGUGAGUGACGGUAAUGGGUAAAGAAGCACCGGCUAACUACGUG